RNAcentral lists this long non-coding RNA (2922 nucleotides) under Paramuricea clavata. The record is from RNAcentral. Lineage: Eukaryota; Metazoa; Cnidaria; Anthozoa; Malacalcyonacea; Plexauridae.
UAAGGAGCAAUUUAUUUUAAAAAAUAAAUUAGGAUUAAUAAGAGGCAACAUCCAUACCGAAAACUAAACGGAAACGAUAAGCAAAGAAAACAACCGCCUUGCUCUCCGGGCAACACCUGCCACAUGUCAAUGCCAAAUUGUCAAUAUAAUCCCAUUUUGCUAAGCCGACAUUCUUCAGUUAUCAGCAAAAGCUAGCCAAAUUUUAUCUCAGUUCACUCUGAUUUCAACGGUCUUCGAGACAACAUAGAAGGAAAAUUUUCCGUACACGAAAAUGCCCGUGGUACAUUUUCUCGGAUAAAUCGAAGCUUCCAAGUCCCGACGUUCAGAACCUGGAAAAAGGCUGUUUUCUAUCCACAUUUGAUCCACUUUUUAAACCGGUGAGUGCGUUUCAUAUUGUCAUUAUACUUAAGCGCGUUAUGUUAUACACUGAAGUUGCCACGAACAGCAUAAACCUACCAAUGUUCGUCCAUGGUAGAACGUUUUUGGAGCCAUAUUACCUGCGCAAUUCGAGUACAUCCCAUGAACUGUUCGGCUUUUCGUUACCCGCAUUUAGUUUAUCAACAUACUAGCUACUAGCUAUAUUCUGCGACAUUGCUCUCACGAGGCAGUUAUGAAAACGCAGGUCUAGGCCCGACAGGGUGAACAUGUGUUUAAUGAAAUACUCCUAAAACAGUAUUAUACUACACUAGGUGUUAGUUGGUGUUAGGACGAUAAUUUUAUAUAUACAAUAUAUUCCCAUAUAUGACAUGUAUGUUUGUCACGUACAAGUACAAUGUCCACUUCAUCAACAAAAUACCCUGCUUCAUGAUGAAACAUUUGGCCACAGGCAUAUAAACAGAGUCGCCCUAUGUAUACUACAAUGGCCAGUCAAAUUAUGCCAGUCUGUGGCAGUCUCGCAGAAUACUGUCAUCUUAUAAUCUAACUCCUUGUGGUGAGGCAUAUUUAUGUUUUGUUUUGUUUUCCCCAUGAACCACAUUUGUAAGAUUGUACUGAUAUCAUUUGCCUGAUACCGAAGAGGUAAAUAGACUUCUAAUCUCUGUAACUCAAUUUAAGAUACAUUAAGACUGUAGCGCUAGCCAGCUACAAGACAAGCCAAUUUGAAGCAUGCAUAGCAAACAAUAUGACGCUAUACAUAAAUCUCUAUGUUAGAAUAUAUAUACAUGUACGGUACCGACUAUUGUGUCUGUGACUAGUGUAUGUCACCUAUCUAAUCAUAUAUCUCAAUCAGGAAUAAAAUUUACAAACAACCACAUAACUUCAGCCACGACACCAUACUCCAUAGAUAUCGUAUAUAUAUACACUAGAUGUCUAUGCACGACACGCGUGUAUAGAUCGUUAUCCAAGAUAUACAGAACUGUCAGAACACCAUGCACACGCAUUAUACAUACAUUAUGCCAUUACUAUACAAUAUCUUACUAUAUGGUCUACUCUCCAAACCCGAUGAAGACCCAAGAAAUCCAUUAACCAAAUACCGCCUAUACAAAAGAUUGCACAACGCAAAAUCCUGUAUAUAUGGACUAUAUAAGGUAUAAAAUUACAAACUGGCAUAAGAAAAAUUGCUAGUGAAAGAAUUUAAAGAUCGUCGGUUUCUCACUCGUUCAGGAAUGCUCAGUACAGAUUUUAAUUAACCCCACUGUAGAGGAAACAUUUCCUGCCACACUCGGUAUUUGGACGCGGCAGAGCGCAUGAAGUAUAUGCAGCUGGGUUAGACGAUUUUAUUACCGACAUUCUGCUUUCAUGGGUUUCCGCAUAUUUCUCUCUGGAAAGCUUGGAAAUGCGCGGACGAGAUUUCAAAAAUUUAAUAGUAAAUAUAUAGAAAGCAUCAAAAUUGCUUGCACGUCAUGACGUCAUAUAACUGUAAAAUACAACAUAUAUAUUCUCCUGUACAAAAACCCCAGUCUCACAAAAUAUGUCAACAGCGAUCUUCGCAUUUUAUACCACAAGCGCUAGAUAAUAAUUGAAAUACUACAGCAUGACAUCAUGAUCACCUGCAUUUGCAUAGCGUCUUACAAAACCCAGUACUGUACAUAGUAGGUACUUAUAUAGCUAGCGUACCAACUACCAAAACGAAAAGGUUUACGGCAUAUUUCACCAGAUCAAAACAAUUCCUAAUACGAUACACUGUUAUUUCAGAGGUUAUUUCCUAUUUUAUGCCAUCGCGUAUACACCCCACAUGCAAUUCGAACUAAACAUACUUCACAGUUCACUACAGUGUAUCACACACCGAGACAAAGCCAAAUUAAGGGGUAGUAGAGCACUCGCAUUCUACUACAAAUUUAUUCAUCGCGCAUUGAGACAACUAUUAUCGACCAGCUCAUGAUUAUACGACAACUAUUAUCGACCAGCUCAUGAUUAUGCACAUGCGCAGAGCAGUUUUUGCUUUUCUUCGUCUCUCUUUUAGUCAUUCUGUUACAAACGAAGGAAGGACAUGAAGAAGAUCUCAGGAUUUUCGCCAUCUUGGUUUCCGCCUUCCAUCACCUAUCUGGAUCACUCCUACGUCCUAAUGGCUAUGAACUCUUUACGUAUAUAUGAACUAUUUAUGACAUAAUCUACAUUCUAUUACCUGAACUAUAUAUGUAUUGUCUACUGUGCGGUGGCGUUUUGCUUUGGAUUGCGACAAAUUAAUUCUGAUCGUUUAGUUCCCUUAUUUAUGCUCAAAAGCGUAGUUUCAUAACAAAACAAAGAAAAAGAAAACAAACCAAAAACAAUAAAACAAAUAACGCAUGCGUUAACAGAAUAGCUUAGUGCAUGGUGUCUAGCGCGAUACUGACAUUUCUUAAUUUUGUAAAGAUAAAGCUAUGUGGGGAGCUGCUGGUGGUCUUGGCCCUACCCAGGUUUUCCUGUACUGCAGGUUUUUUCCUGGCCUCCCUGAUUAUCCAGCCGUAGCAUAAGUGUUAGUAUCUCGUGGACACCAUAUAUCUU